This 254-nucleotide ribosomal RNA is filed under the name uncultured bacterium. RNAcentral's name for it is "partial 16S ribosomal RNA". It matches the Rfam family "Bacterial small subunit ribosomal RNA", at positions 524 to 776 of the family's 1533-position model. The record is from RNAcentral.
UACGUAGGGUGCAAGCGUUAAUCGGAAUUACUGGGCGUAAAGCGUGCGCAGGCGGCUUUGCAAGACAGAUGUGAAAUCCCCCGGGCUUAACCUGGGAACUGCAUUUGUGACUGCAUCGCUGGAGUGCGGCAGAGGGGGAUGGAAUUCCGCGUGUAGCAGUGAAAUGCGUAGAUAUGCGGAGGAACACCGAUGGCGAAGGCAAUCCCCUGGACCUGUACUGACGCUCAUGCACGAAAGCGUGGGGAGCAAACAGG